AUUCGAGAAAAUUUCGAUACGUACAAAGUUCGCUGAUUUUCAUACGGAACAAUGGACAGUACGCUGCGUAAUAUACGCGCACAUAGACUAACCUCUCUUCAACAGCUGUAUUGUCUAUGUGAUACUUCUAAAGAAAAACGCUCGACUCAAGUGCAACCGCAUUUCCAUCCGGAACUAAUGUUUGUGUUUAUCAAUAUGUUGUAAUAAUUAAUGUUAAGCAGACGACACGAUAAAGCACUGGGCAACAACAUAUCAUUCAUAGCGGGUUCGAAGAAUUUCGUAAGCACUUGACAUUUGACAAGAUAUUUACAUACAAUUUCAAUAAA
This is a long non-coding RNA of Sipha flava (yellow sugarcane aphid), 326 nucleotides long. RefSeq lists it as uncharacterized. NCBI's taxonomy places the organism in Eukaryota, Metazoa, Arthropoda, Insecta, Hemiptera, Aphididae. The record is from RefSeq and is a predicted model, not a curated record. The transcript has 3 exons.